AUAAAUUUAACAACUGUCAGCCAGUGACUAGUGCCGAGCACGUCAUUCCGGCUGGAUAAAGUAUCGAUGUCCGACUGACAGUUGGAGGACGUAGGACGCAGGCCGCAGUAGUUGGCUGACAGCUGGAGAAUCGAACCUCGAGUGCGGCUCAUAGCCCAUUUCUUAUUAAAAACCUAAGCCAGCUUAUUAAACUGCGACUUAUUGCUAACCGACAGGCGACAGUUUGAGCAACUGUGCAGGACAUGAGGUCCUGUGCCCUGGCCGCCCCAAUGAACGACUUGAAUUACAGUCAAAACUGGAACUCCGAAAUAUGUUUGUGGAUACUAUGAGAGUACACUUGAGUGAAGCGCGCCAAAUUAAAAUUAGAAUCACUUCCGCAAACAAAUGGGCCGAUGACAAUUUCGCACAGCGGUCGCUGCAGGGGGUAGACCGAUGUAUGUCCUUUACAGAGGGGAAAUUCUAUUCAUGGGCAAUUAUCCUAGUGCCGAGUGGCACGUCCUGCCGCAAAAACCGCAAAUGAUUAUCCUCGGGCAAUCAUUAUCAUUAUCAGCAUCUUUGGCGCCGGGCUAAUACAGAAGUCACGUGUCAACCAGUCGCCGAUAAUAAUCGCACUGGGACUACCCUCUGCGGUUGAGACAACGAGAUGCGCUUGCAAUUUUAUCAGAUUAAGGACCCUCAGCAGCACAAAGUGCAGCGCCGUCCCUGUCCCUUGAGUGUUGAGCGUAUCCUUUUUUCGACCGCCCUCAACAGGUGAGAACUGCACGCACAUUGUGUGAGAAUCUUAAUUUUUUUCUGUUUGUUUUUGUGAUUCUGCUUUGUGCAUAUCAAAUUUCCAGUUGACGCUGUGAUUUGUCGUUUUUAUUAAUUCUCAUGAACUGACAUUGUAACUCCUUCGCAAGGAAAUCCAAUAAAUAAAAACAAAAGUUCAUAUUUAAAAAUCAAUGCAUUAAAGCGCAGCUAUGGAACUAGUUCUUGGCCAAUACUAGCUCAAAUAAAUACCACAAAUGUUAAUAACAGCGUAUGACACUUACAUUAA
Drosophila hydei is the source of this 1036-nucleotide long non-coding RNA. RefSeq lists it as uncharacterized. The transcript has 3 exons. The record is from RefSeq and is a predicted model, not a curated record. Lineage: Eukaryota; Metazoa; Arthropoda; Insecta; Diptera; Drosophilidae.